This is a non-coding RNA of Sus scrofa (pig), 2205 nucleotides long. NCBI's taxonomy places the organism in Eukaryota, Metazoa, Chordata, Mammalia, Artiodactyla, Suidae. The record is from RefSeq and is a predicted model, not a curated record.
UGGGUCACCCUGCGCCUGAGCCCUGUGAGCCCCAGCCCCGCCCCCCACCUUGCGGGCCAGGGCGGGGGUGGCCGUGGUCCAGAGCCACGUGGGGGUGCUGACUGGGUCAGAAUCGGCCUGAGGCUGGGUGCACAGGGCGCUGCCAGCAGCCUGCGGGUGACCCAGGGCGAACCCCACACGGUCGAUCCGGGGCCUCCCAGGCCCACCAAGUCACAGGUUCUUUACGCCUGUCCUUGUCACUGCUCUGUCCUUCCUGCUGCCGUGGCAAGUCCUGGGAGGGCAUCCCUGCGGGAGCAUCCACAGCUGUCCUUACUGCUGCCCGGUGACUCGACCCCGGGGGUUGCACUCUGCAGCCGCUGGUGAGGACGUCAAACCCCAAACGGAAGCAUCCCUCCCGGAGCUGCUGGGCCCAAGGCAGGGGGCUCUGCCUCCCAGGGCUGAGAAGUCCUCUCCCCCGGGGCCCAGGCCACACCCACGCAACAGCACAGACUUUUCUCUGGGAAGAAGGGGAGCCCCCACAGCAGGGGCUGAUGUGUGAAACGAGAAGAGGCUGCGGGGAGGGUGAGGAAACCCAUGGUCCAGAAAUAAGCCAGGAAGGGCUUUAUGAGCCACUUCCGUGAGCAACGGCUUCAUUAUGGAUCUGUUGGGUCUCGUUUCCUGUGAUGGAAUAUGAAUGAUCUGCUGCGUGAUUAUGCAUCAUCCAGGCUGCAGCAGCCAGUGGAAAAAGGGCUUCACCGUUGCCUAUAAACCAUGAAUCAGAGGCCGCCCUUGCUAACGGCUUCCUCAGGGCUACGGGUUGCUCUAACAGUUCUACACCCUGUGUCAUCCGGCCUGGAGAAGCGGCUCCUGUUUUGGACACACUGGUUUUGGAGCAGAUGGAGAAAGAGUUCAAGGGCUGCGGAAGUCUGCAAGGCAUUUCUUUGAGGUUGUAUCUUCACUCCGUCCGCGGGCCCAGGCCAGGGACAGUGAAUGAGAGAACCACAGUCUGCACGAAGGUGUGCCGAUGUCCUCCCCAAACUCCUUUUGAUAGUCAUGUGGCAUAGCACGAAUCUACCUGCUGCAGAGGUUCCUGGGAGCCUUCCGUUGGACCCGUCCCUCCACUUCUGUUCUGAUCCUGCCCCUGAUUUCCAGGCUGGGUGUGCGAGCUGUUGUUGACAUCGCCGACCUGGAAACUGCCCUUUUCCUGCCUCUUCUGUUAGAUCCCGCUCCCGGAGCCAUAGUUUGCCUCUUCCUGGUUUUCUUUCUCGUUUUGCUGGAGCACAUCCUUUAGUAGACGCCUGAGAAAAGGUACUGGAGAAUAAUCUUAUGAAAUCCUGCCUAAUGUCUUGACUCUGCCCUUCCUUUUGAUUAAUAGUUGGGUGGGUGUGGCUUUCUGGGAUGGACAUGUUUAUUUUUUCCAGACUUUUGAAGGCAUCGCUCCAUUGCCUCCUGGUUUCCUGUGUUACUUUUGAAGAUGUCAGAUGAGUUUUCUGAUUCCUAAUCCUGUGUGAGAACCUUCAAUCUUUUUUUUUUCAUUUUGGCUUUUUCUUAGUUUUUAAGAUCUUCUCCUUGUCAGUGUUCUGUGACCUGUUGCAGGACACACCCUGGCAAGUCUCUGUCUUCAUUCAUUCUUUCAUUCAUUGUCUAAAAACCUCCUAUUCUGGGAUUUUUUCAUAUUAUUUAUUUGAUAAUUUCCCCUAUUGUUUUCUGUUCUUUCACAGAUUCUGGACCUUCUGGAUGGGCCUGUAAUUUUCUUGUCUUUCUUGUUUUAGUGUCUCUCUCUUUGACUUUUGUUGUGCUUGAGGAGGGAUUUCCUCUAGUUAAUUGUCCAAAAACUAAUAUGAAGUUUUGAGUUUUGCUCUGGUACCUUUUCAUAUUAUGAGAAUCAAGCUGAUGAACACAUCCAUCACCUCAUACAGCUGCCCUUUCCUGUGUGUGUGCUGAGGACGCUUAGAUAGUCUCUCUCAGCAAAUUCCAAGCGUCCAGUACAGUUUCACCCGCAUCACCACGCUGUACAUCAGCUCCUCAGAAUGGCUUCAACUCAUCGUUGAAUUUGUACCAACAUCUUCCCAUUUCUCCCAACACCCAGUCUCUGGAAACUACUGUUCUACUCUCUGUUUCUGUGAGUUCUACUUUUUUAGAAUGUACAUAUAAGUGCAAUUAGCUAUAGUAUUUUUAACUACUAAAAGCUUUCUUAUUUUUCUUUUUCUUUGUUUCUUUCUUUUU